Molecule: microRNA precursor, 97 nt
Filed under: Otolemur garnettii (small-eared galago)
Lineage: Eukaryota; Metazoa; Chordata; Mammalia; Primates; Galagidae
Description: miRNA (ENSOGAG00000025112.1)
Source: RNAcentral
UGCCCAUUUUUCAGAUGUGGAAACUGAGGCAAUAGAGAAGCAAGGGCACUGGCCCCAGAUUCCUCAGCUAGGAAGGGACAGAAGCGGGAUUUGAAUC